Molecule: long non-coding RNA, 2098 nt
Organism: Monodelphis domestica (gray short-tailed opossum)
Lineage: Eukaryota; Metazoa; Chordata; Mammalia; Didelphimorphia; Didelphidae
Source: RefSeq, a predicted model, not a curated record
UAUUUCGACUUCAAAUGAGGUCUCAUUAUCUUGGUGCCAUCUGACCUUGCAAUCAUAAAUUCUUGCGAUGGAAUUCUCCUGCUGUUUAUUUAUAAAACACUCUUCUACUUUGGGCUGGGUAAGAGAUUAUUAAUGUCCUGGCCAGGUAUAAUUACUGUGCACAGGAGAGAGAUGACACACAAAGGGUGUUUCUUUCCCUGAAUUCCCUUUGAUCUGGCUCUUUGCUGGGAAAGUAGAAAUUAGGUGAUAUCUAUCUUGGGCUCCAUUUACCUGGGAGAAUAGAACACUGAUCUCAGGUGGCCUCAAACUCAAAUUGCUAUUCAUUCUCCUCAAAAUCUCUCCCCUUUCCCAAUCCAACUUCUGUAGAGAAAAUAGCUUUAGAACUGAAAUAGAGCUCAAGAACUUCUUUUUCCUCCUCCUUAAUAUCAUCUUUUUUCCUAAUUACAUGUAGAAAUAAAUUUUAACAUUUGUUUUCUGAUGAUUUAUGAUCAAAAUUCUCUCUUUCUCUCACCCUCUCCUUCCCCCUUCCUGGGAUAGCAAGUAAUCUGAUAUAGGUUUUACACGUAUUGUCAUGCAAUAUAUAUUUGUCAUUUUGUAAAAGAGGACACAUAGUAUACAUAACAAGAAAAGACACAUAAAGGAAAUAAAGUGAGAAAUGGUGUGCUUUGAUCUGUACCAGACUCCAUCAAUUCCUUCUAUGGUGCAGGAAAGCAUUUUUCAUCACGAGCCCCUUGGAAUUGUAUUAGAUCAUUGCAUUGCUGAUAAUAGUUAAGUCAUUCACAGUUGAUCAUCCUAAGUAAUUGUUUUUUUUUUUAAACACUAACCUUCUGUCUUAGAAUCAAUAUUGUGUAUUGGUUUCAAGGCCAAAGAGUGGUAAGGGCUGGGCAAUGGAGGUUAAGUGACUUGCCCAGGGUGUUUGAGGACAGAUUUGAAUCUAGGAUCUCCCAUCUCUAAGUCUGGCUCCCAAUCCACUGAGCCACCUAGCUGUUUCCAUAACUUAUUUCUACAGCUGAAUAAACUGAGGCUAGUGAAUUACCCAAGAUCCUGCUUCCAUCAUACCACAUUGACUCUCAGAAUAGUAAUGAUCAAAAGUGACUUGCCCAGGGUGUUUGAGGACAGAUUUGAAUCUAGGAUCUCCCAUCUCUAAGUCUGGCUCCCAAUCCACUGAGCCACCUAGCUGUUUCCAUAACUUAUUUCUACAGAUGAAUAAACUGAGGCUAGUGAAUUACCCAAGAUCCUGCUUCCAUCAUACCACAUUGACUCUCAGAAUAGUAAUGAUCAAAAGUGACUUGCCCAGGGUGUUUGAGGACAGAUUUGAAUCUAGGAUCUCCCAUCUCUAAGUCUGGCUCCCAAUCCACUGAGCCACCUAGCUGUUUCCAUAACUUAUUUCUACAGAUGAAUAAACUGAGGCUAGUGAAUUACCCAAGAUCCUGCUUCCAUCAUACCACAUUGACUCUCAGAAUAGUAAUGAUCAAAAGUAAUGUUGGAGAUUGUAUAUGAAAUUAUAAUUAUUUAUUAAUAAAGAUGAGAGAAAGAGGGAAAGAAAAACCACCAGGUUGCCCUAACUAUAAAAACAAAAUAAAACAAAACAAAAUAACUCUUCCAUGCUUCCCAAGAUCUAGUAUCCAGUUGAAGUUCAAGUGAAGCAUUAACAGUGCCAGAGAAGGGAGAGAGCUGCCCCAGCUUGCAUUCAGGAAGAGUUCCAUGCCCAAGACAGCACUCUACUGCCUGACCCCCUGUCUUUAUAAGUCUGAUGACAUCACUCUUACUGGGCUUUCUAAUUGGACAGUUUGGGCCACCAGUCCUGACUUCUAGUUAAGUCAACCACCAUGUGGGAACUUCUCCCAGCUGCUUCUGGAAGUCAAGACUCCAGGUGCCCAAUGUGGCCCUUUGAUCACUUGACUUGUUGGUAUCCUGACUUAAUGCACAUGUGCAGAGUCAUCAAAGACCAAAUGGCAAGAUGAAAAUCAAGAUGACUGAUGAUGACUCAGGAUGCAAUGGAUGCCCUUGGCUUCUUUGAUGUCUGAUCAAGCUCUAAGCCCUCCACACUAUCUGCUUCCAUUGCUUUCAUGGGGUUGCAAUAAAUUGUUCUCAUCUA